RNAcentral lists this ribosomal RNA (497 nucleotides) under uncultured bacterium. RNAcentral describes it as "partial 16S ribosomal RNA". It matches the Rfam family "Bacterial small subunit ribosomal RNA", at positions 30 to 507 of the family's 1533-position model. The record is from RNAcentral.
CGAACGCUGGCGGCGUGCCUAAUACAUGCAAGUCGAGCGAAGUUUUUCUGGUGCUUGCACUAGAAAAACUUAGCGGCGAACGGGUGAGUAACACGUAAAGAACCUGCCUCAUAGACUGGGACAACUAUUGGAAACGAUAGCUAAUACCGGAUAACAGUAUUUCUCGCAUGAGAGAUAUUUAAAAGUUGGUUAUGCCAACACUAUGAGAUGGCUUUGCGGUGCAUUAGCUAGUUGGUGGGGUAAAGGCCCACCAAGGCGACGAUGCAUAGCCGACCUGAGAGGGUGAUCGGCCACACUGGGACUGAGACACGGCCCAGACUCCUACGGGAGGCAGCAGUAGGGAAUCUUCCGCAAUGGGCGAAAGCCUGACGGAGCAACGCCGCGUGAGUGAAGAAGGAUUUCGGUUCGUAAAGCUCUGUUGUUAGGGAAGAAUGGAUAUGUAGUAACUAUACAUGUAUGAGACGGUACCUAACCAGAAAGCCACGGCUAACUACGUG